CUGGGGCUGUAGUAGGUCCCAAGGGUUGGGCUGUUCGCCCAUUAAAGUGGUACGCGAGCUGGGUUCAGAACGUCGUGAGACAGUUCGGUCCCUAUCCGUCGCAGGCGUAGGAAAUUUGAGAAGACCUGUCCUUAGUACGAGAGGACCGGGAUGGACGUACCUCUGGUGUACCAGUUGUUCUGCCAAGGGCAUGGCUGGGUAGCUAUGUACGGAAUGGAUAAGCGCUGAAAGCAUCUAAGCGCGAAGCCAACUUCAAGAUAAGAUUUCCCACCGCAAGGGUAAGACCCCAGAAAGACUAUCUGGUUGAUAGGUCGAAGGUGUAAGUGCAGCAAUGUAUUUAGCUUAUCGAUACUAAUAGGUCGAGGACUUGACCAA
This 375-nucleotide ribosomal RNA is filed under the name Clostridioides sp. ZZV15-6598. RNAcentral's name for it is "partial 23S ribosomal RNA". It matches the Rfam family "Bacterial large subunit ribosomal RNA", at positions 2547 to 2925 of the family's 2925-position model. The record is from RNAcentral. Lineage: Bacteria; Bacillati; Bacillota; Clostridia; Peptostreptococcales; Peptostreptococcaceae.